AUUGAACGCUGGCGGCAUGCUUUACACAUGCAAGUCGAACGGUAACAGGGAGCUUGCUCCGCUGACGAGUGGCGAACGGGUGAGUAAUGCAUCGGAACGUACCGUGUAAUGGGGGAUAACGUAGCAAAAGUUACGCUAAUACCGCAUACGCCCUGAGGGGGAAAGUGGGGGACCGCAAGGCCUCACGUUAUACGAGCGGCCGAUGUCGGAUUAGCUAGUUGGUGGGGUAAAGGCCUACCAAGGCGACGAUCCGUAGCGGGUCUGAGAGGAUGAUCCGCCACACUGGGACUGAGACACGGCCCAGACUCCUACGGGAGGCAGCAGUGGGGAAUUUUGGACAAUGGGGGCAACCCUGAUCCAGCCAUGCCGCGUGAGUGAAGAAGGCCUUCGGGUUGUAAAGCUCUUUCAGGUGGAAAGAAAUCUCCCGGGUGAAUACCCUGGGAGGAUGACGGUACCAUCAGAAGAAGCACCGGCUAACUACGUG
Molecule: ribosomal RNA, 484 nt
Filed under: uncultured bacterium
Lineage: Bacteria
Description: bacterial SSU rRNA
Rfam family: Bacterial small subunit ribosomal RNA
Source: RNAcentral